Molecule: long non-coding RNA, 2567 nt
Filed under: Homo sapiens (human)
Lineage: Eukaryota; Metazoa; Chordata; Mammalia; Primates; Hominidae
Description: HSALNT0346165
Source: RNAcentral
CCAAGAAGAGAGGUCCUUUUAAAGAAUGAGCAUCAAGCAUCCACUCUAAAAGGAAGAUGGAGAAAGCCAGUGCAAGGCCUGCCUGUUGGGCAUCAUGUGGAUUUGCCCUUGGCUCUUGUGUUCACUCGGAGCCCUCUGGUGUCCCGUUUCCAGCUGGGCUGUGCACGCACCCUGGGGAUUCAGUGGAAGAGGAGCAAUCUGAAUCCAGCAGUGCUGAGAAAACCCAAGAGCUACAUGGCCAGCAUUUCCCAUCAGAGAGCCAACAGGGCCCCUGGUUUUGCCUUCCCGCCCACCAGCCCUGGUUAAUGGAGCUUUUGUUCUGCCUGAUGCUGCCUUGCUAAUCAGGGUGUAUCAUAUGGGAGCUAUCAGGAGAGCGGGGCCUGCUUCACAAAGGAACACAGGUUGCCUUUAGAGUUGGCUACAAAACUUAGAGCUUGGUGAUGGCUCAGGCACAAAAGAGCUGGCUGUACUUGAGGCUGACUUCCAUUCUACCUGUGACUAUUACAUUCAAGGUAGUGAACGCUUGAAGCCUCUGGCAUCCUGAUCCCAUGAUUACUGCAGAGAAAAGAGUGAUGAAUGAAAGCCCCUGUCAUCGUGUAGUUUAAUACUGGCAUUGCUCUUGGGAGCCAAGGAGUCCUAGAUGACUGAAUUCUGCUGUGAGGUCUGUAGCUCAGGGAGAAGAUGAGACAAGUGGACUUGGAAAGAACAAUCUUCCUCGAAAAAGUCCUCAGGGUGCAAAGAAGAGAAAUGCAAUAAAAUGAUAAUGAGGAGGCCCAGGACCCGCACAAGGGCACCACUGCAAGUAGAUACUUCGAGGAAACUUCCUGAUGCUUGUCCAGCCCUUGGUGGUGGUGCCCGGCAGCCCGUAUUCUUAUCCCAAAGCAAUAUGUGUGGAGACAGCCCAGCAAAAGCUGAGAGAUUGUGUGUCCAGAGACAUGUUCCAGGAAUGGAAACAGAGAGUGGAGGAGUUUCUUCUCUCCUCCCGUCUCCCGCUAGAGUGGGCGGUCCCUUUGGUGUCAUCGCACUGUCUUCAUAGCCUACUGCGCUCCAGGCCUGUGCGCCCAUGGCGGUCUUGGACCACGAGUGAGCCAUGAGCCCUCCCAAGCCCCAAGGCCAGGUCUGAAGCGGGCUGAUGUGUGCCCCUGGCUUUGUUGCCCAGAUCCUCACCACAAUCCCAGCAUCCCACCACUCUACUGCGAGAAGAGACAAGGGAGGAGAUGCACACCUCAGAGAAGGAGCAGAUUUCAUUCAAAGUCCGAGGGAGGCCAGGGCUCCUGGUCCUGGACUUCGUGUCAAUUGGUUCUUCCUGGAAAAGACAAUUGGAGGCACCUUCACCUUGUUUUUACUAUAUGGGUCGCGUGGCAGUGCUGGAGAAAAAGACAAUCCCCAAAGAGCACAUUGUCCUAAAGGAAGAGUCAACACCUGCUAACAGUUUAUCUUGUCAUACUAAGCCUCAAGCCCUGAGCACCAUUGCUCAGCUGCACUCACGGUCUUGGUACUGUUGCCUGGUGUAACUACACAACCUCUGGGCUGAUGACGCAAAAACACGUGAUAUGUAAUAGCUCAUUUAAUUCUCGCAACUGUAAUUAUCCCCAUUUCAUGACUUCCAUUUGACGGAAAGAUUAAGCGGCUAAUCCUCCAACACAAUUUAAGUGGCUUGUUCCAUAACUAGUGAAGAGAUUGAAAAUUUGAACUCCUCUGCCGAGCUCCGGAACCUGUGCUCCUAAGGGAGGAAUGGGCUGGAGCUCCCCACAGUGGUCAUCAUGUAAACCCAACACUUCCUACAUUCAUUGAUUUCUGCCUAAUUUACAUUCCUCUUUUGUUAGUUGCUCACAAGUCCCUCCUCCAUCCUCUUCUUCCCAAGCCCUGGUCAUUAAAAUCAAAGUCUUAAAUCUCAGAUACCACUCUCCCUGCACCUAGGCCCUUAUUUUCAUCCGUAUCCAGAGAGUCUUAACCUCUUGUCUUACGUUUGUCUAACUUGAACCUGUACGACCUAUUCCUUGAGACUCUAUAUUUUAAAAACCUGCACAGAUCUUAUCAAAAAAUUAUUUGUACCUCUGCUUCUACCAUUAGGUGACCAUUGCCUUUUCUCUGAAGACACCAUUUCUCUUGUAAUCUUCUCAACGUAUCUUUCUCUUAUUCCUGUCCCUUAACUGAACGAAAGUGGGAUCGGCUUUUCCGUUCUCUCCAGUACUUCUCUCGACCACUGUUUUGUGAUUAUUAUCCAAGAGCUUUGCUGGUGUUGGACUCCAUAUAGCACUGUUUCUAACACUUUCUUGCUUUCCUGAGUGACCCCAGCAUCUGGCUCACAGCCUUCCCUUUCCUUGCUAAAGUCCGAGCGACUCCGACAUCAAAAUUGAUCAUCUUCCCAACUGUGUACUCAGGCAGUGUUCAAGUUCCACUUCCCGAGGGAGUUCUGUCUUGCUUCCAUGGAGCUGUCCACCUGGUUGUCUCAUUUUUAAACAGCUUUAUUAAGAAAUCAUCGACAUACAAAAAUGUAUACAUUUAAGAUGUGCAACUUGAUGUUUUAGUAUACGUUAUUAAAUUAUCACCACAAUCAAGCUAAU